Fukomys damarensis (Damara mole-rat) is the source of this 3073-nucleotide long non-coding RNA. RefSeq lists it as uncharacterized. NCBI's taxonomy places the organism in Eukaryota, Metazoa, Chordata, Mammalia, Rodentia, Bathyergidae. The record is from RefSeq and is a predicted model, not a curated record. The transcript has 5 exons.
GUGGACCCGGUGUCCUCCCCGGGGAUUUAUGACCUCACGCUCCCGUGACAGUGACAUCACAGUGCGUUGCCAUGGGCUCUGCUUUAUUGUCGUAAACAAAGGGCUGUUCCUUGGGACCGGGGCUAUCUGAGCAGGAGGGGAAAGAAUUCUAUGUGCAAUGUGUUUUCUUGGGAAGGCAGCUUGUUCGGAAGUCUGAAAAGCUGCGGAAAUCAUCGUACGUACAGUUCCCUCUGCGUGGCCCUGCGGCCUCCAGACCAGGGUCAGGCCGGGGACGACAGCGAUGAGGUCAGCUCCGCACAGGAAGCCCUGGGCCCGGUCACUGCUCCAGACGAGGCCUUCAGGCAGUCACGGAAGUGCUCUGAACACCUGGACACUAGGUGCAGGAGAGACAGAGGCGCCAGCCCCGCUGCUUCGGGAUCUGCAGUCCUUAAGGACAGGGGUGUUGUGACUGUGUCACGUUGGGUCUGGGUUACACGAGCUGAUGGAAGCAAACAGGAAGCCAGGAUGAGAAGGAGCGAGGGAGGAGGCCACUGCGAUGAGGACCCCCAGGAGGGCGUCUCUGUGGAGAGAAAACACAAAACCAGGCACCGGGAGAGGAAGAGAUGCAUUGGGAUCGGGGGUUAGGACCUCCCUGAGAUGCCGGAGUAUCCAGCGAUGCCAGUCUUGGACAGAUGGAGGUACAGCCUUCCAGACAUGGGGAACAGCACAUCUGGAUGCUCAGGGGUGAGAAGAAACCAUUUCUGAGCAAGAAACAGAAAUGUGCGAGGUACUUAAGCCUCAUGCUGAGAGCAAAGCUUCCAGGCAGCAGAUACGGGGUUUUGCCUCCGCCACAGUUGCGUGAGCCACUUGGAAACGUGCAUGCGCUUGCAUCGCCCUGGGUCCGCCCCUUCCGCCAGCCUCUUCCUCCCCCGCCUCUCCUUCUGACUCCUCAGUUGUGUACGCCAGUGGAUUCCUCACUUUAGCCACACCAGCUGGCGCUGGACAACUGCCGCCUUGGAAUCUGGAGUCCUGAGAUGCCCGUCGUUCAGAUAGGAGACCAGCAAACUAACUGCACCUUAUUGUCUGUUUCUGUUUUACACCCCAACACCAGAGGGGAAUCCUCAGAAUAAAGAUAACCAGGGCCCCACAAGCCUAAAAUACUCACCAUCUCAUCCCUUAUAGAAGGAGAUCCUCGGUGCUGGCCUCAACUGCAUUCUUUUAUUGCUUAUAAAAGGAAAUUGAGGUCGAUAAAGAGAACUUCCUUACCUGGGUGCACAGACUGCAUUGGAAUCUUCCCGGACCUCAGUUCCCACACCUAGAACGCAGACAGGAUCUCGCCUUCUAAGGUCAGUGAGACCUAGGAAGGCAGUAAAGAGCAAGGCCAGUGGCCGCUCUCCCGUCAGCCUCCUGAGGACCGGAAACACCUGACUCCUCGCCUUCUGCGUCUCUCCCUCUCACGCACACCCUCCCACGCGUGGCUCAGUUACUGGAGUCCCUGCUGAGGCUUCCUUCUCUGAUCUGGAGCCGCCCAGGAUGUGCACAGGACAUCCCACUCCACAACACGGAUGGGCUCCAAGACAUGCAGCGAGCCCCGCGAGGUCACACAGCGUUCUGAGCCACCUCAGGCCGCAUCCUCUUCAAUGGGCUGGACUGGUCCGUGUCCCACAAGGGUGGGCACGGCUCAUCUCGCUGCCUCCCCUGGCCUCCUGGCCUGUGGCCACCGUCCCGGCUGCGUCUCCCUCCACCCCUCCUCUCUUCCUGCUGCUGAGAGUACAGAUGUUUCUGCCCUCGUCCGCUUCGUUGGCACCUGUGGGAUCUGACAAUUCCCGAGUGGGCACUGGACAGCGGGCAUCACAGUGGUGGGGUCACCCCAACUCCUGGCAACCACAAGCCUCUCAUUGGAGGCGGCCGCGCAGCUGUGCAGACUUCAGGGGCGGAGGCUUCUGGCUCAGACCCCACUCUGAUUUGAUGGUGCUUCCCAAAGCUCCGGUCAGAACCCCUCCCGUGCAUUCCUGGAUGGAGGAGAUGAGGGCCAGGUGCUGUCAUGAGGGUGGCGCCCUAAGCUGGGCCCAGUGGCUUCAGAUGGGAGAGACUUGAGCCAGUCACUGGCUCUGUCUCCCCGUGGCUGCCUUCUGCCGUGUUCCUGAGCAGCCUGAGGCUGGCUCCUUCCUCUGGACUGCCGACCUCCAGAACCAGAGGCUAAACAAACCUCUAUUCUUUCUAAAUUGCCCAGUCUGGAGGCAGGCAUGGUGGACAUGCCUGUGAUCCCAGUACUCAGGGGCCCGAGGCAGGAGGAUCUCUGUCAGUUCUGUCUCUUUUUAUCUCUGUGAAGUUGGACACACCACCCAGACUCCUGUGCCUCCGUUUGUGCAUCUGUGAAAUGGGGACGCUACCAAUAAAGAGUGCAGAUGUGGCCGGGCGUGGUGGGGCACACCUGUAAUCGCAACACUCAGACGGCUGAGGCAGGAGGAUCACCACGAGUUUGAGGCCAGCCUGGGAGACACAGUGAGUUCAAGGCCAACCUUGAAUUGGCCCUGCUGGGAGCUGGCCUCUUCAUGAUGAAUCAGCUGGAGUGGCUGGGGCUGGGCCAGGGCAGGAGACACAGCGCCUCACACACACAUCUGGUGAUUGGCACUCUGGGGCAUGUUGGGAGUGGCUCUCCUGCUGGGGCUCCUGCCUUGAGUCAGUUUGGGCUUCUCCUCCAGCUGACGGCUUCUAGGAAAAUGAAAACAGAAGCUCUCAGGGCUGGCAUCUGUAAGGUGCUCCACCUCCAUUCUGAGUUUCGGACUCGAAAUAAAAAGUACAAAGAGCCAAGGACACAGCUCCGUGCAAAGGCCCUGAGUUCAAACGCCAGUACUUCCAGAGAGAGAAGGUGCGAAGUGGUCUUUGGAAAAACCUACUGGGAAAACUCACCCCUGGACAGGCGUCCACUUAGUCUUCUUCCCCACCCAAAACGUAGCAGAGAGCCGCAAAUAAAGACCCAGACGCUCAGCCUUUGCUCUGCUUUUUUCCAGCCAGGGGUCUAUCAGUCCUGAUGGUCCAAAGGUUUCCUUUUCUCCAUCCUUUCUGGCUUUGUUGUUUGGAGACAGGGUCU